GGGUGUUUAUUACUGAAGUAGGUGAA
This 26-nucleotide non-coding RNA is filed under the name Mus musculus (house mouse). Lineage: Eukaryota; Metazoa; Chordata; Mammalia; Rodentia; Muridae. The record is from RNAcentral.